RNAcentral lists this ribosomal RNA (164 nucleotides) under Salmonella enterica subsp. enterica serovar Enteritidis. Its description in RNAcentral is "partial 23S ribosomal RNA". It matches the Rfam family "Bacterial large subunit ribosomal RNA", at positions 1 to 156 of the family's 2925-position model. The record is from RNAcentral. Lineage: Bacteria; Pseudomonadati; Pseudomonadota; Gammaproteobacteria; Enterobacterales; Enterobacteriaceae.
GGGUUGUGAGGUUAAGCGACUAAGCGUACACGGUGGAUGCCCUGGCAGUCAGAGGCGAUGAAGGGCGUGCUAAUCUGCGAUAAGCGCCGGUAAGGUGAUAUGAACCGUUAUAACCGGCGAUACCCGAAUGGGGAAACCCAGUGUGACUCGUCACACUAUCAUUA